UUUAUGUUUCAAGGUAAACCACUCUCAGAGGGCAAACGAAACACCGCUGAAGACGUGGAUAAUUGCGAAGGAGGAUGGGGAUGUCAUUGCAGCUCAUUGCAAUUGCAUGGCAGGGUUAGUCAUUUAUGUAGGCUAGCAUGUUUACCAUGAGAUCACAGACACACACACACGUACUGCUAGCAUACUGCCAGUGUACUUCAGAACCAGCGGGGAGAGAGCUUUCAGGGAUAAACAUGUUAAUUAGUGUAAAGUGAUACUCCAUAUUAGUAUAGGUAGGCUAUAUUGCAGAUCAUCAAAAUGUGCUGAUAUAGAUUGAACGUUUUCCCUGAUGUAGAUUGCAUUUGAGGUUUAAAAAAAUGUCAUUGUAUUCUAUUCACAGACUUUCAGAAUCAUGUUCUCAUGUUGGAGCAGUUCUGUUUGCUAUUGAAGCUGGGGUUAAGAUGAGAGAUAUAGCUUCCUGCACAACUGAGCAGUGCAAGUGGCUGAUGCCAUCACAUGUGAAAAAGAUUCCUGCUGCUCCAGUAGCUCAGAUUGACUUCUCCUCUGCAAAAUCAAAAAAAAAAAAGCUUGACCGUUCCAUCGAUGGCAGGACAACUGUAAACAAGUUAUGGAUGCAAACAUGAAGCACAAGCCAGAGGAGCGUAUGAGAAGCUGAUUGGUCGGGAGCAUGCAGGCUUUUCAUGUAUGGACAGUGGUCUCUGGCUAAACCCCAAGUGGCCCUACAUGGGGUCCUCCCCUGAUGGGAUUGUUACUUGUGUCUGUCACGGAACUGGCAUCUGCGAAAUUAAGUGCCCACACUCUCGCCAAGAUGAGACCAAUCUGCGUUUGUGUGCUGACGAAAAGGGCUUCUGCCUCAUCAAUGAAGGGGAUAAUGUCAUGCUGGACCGGAGUCAUGAGUACUACUACCAAGUUCAGGCACAGCUUCACAUUGUAGAUGCUGAGUACUGUGACUUUGUUGUGUGGAACCGCAAUGACAUUUUUGUUGAAAGGAUUUUGCCUGAUCUUGAAUUUUGGGAUGAUGUGAUUCCUAAAGUUGAGUGCUUUUUUAGAAACGGUAUACUUCCAGAAAUACUGGGACAGCAAGUUACAAACUUGCAUGUGUAAUGUGAUAAAAGUAUAUGAACUUAGGUCCAGGCACUAAGUGGGCUCUGUGAUAUAUUGCUGUUCAAUCAAUACUGUUGUAUGAGACAAGAUGACAUUUUGAAUAUUGUUAUGACCUGAGUGUGGUCUUUGUAUAUAUAUAUUGAGUAGUAUAUUAAGUUGUAUAUUGAGUAGCACUACACAAUUUGUAAGAUGCUUACUAAAAAGAUGAAAUGCCAUUGAGAAGACAGAAUAAUACAUGGUGGUUUAUUUACAAGAUUAGAUGUUUUAACAAUUGUUAUAAUAAAUGCAAUAUGUGCAAUAAUACAUUGGAAUCCAUUUCAUUAUAUAAAAAACAUAUCGCCAGAACAAUUGGACUAGUGGAGAAAAAUAUUAUAUUUAAAAACAUAUUUACAGACUGAUGUGUGUCAGGUAUUGAAAACU
Molecule: long non-coding RNA, 1524 nt
Organism: Centropristis striata (black sea bass)
Lineage: Eukaryota; Metazoa; Chordata; Actinopteri; Perciformes; Serranidae
Exons: 4
Source: RefSeq, a predicted model, not a curated record